This 115-nucleotide ribosomal RNA is filed under the name Periophthalmus magnuspinnatus. Lineage: Eukaryota; Metazoa; Chordata; Actinopteri; Gobiiformes; Gobiidae. The record is from RNAcentral.
AUUUGUGACUAAACUUUCUUGCCAAAGGCUGAUCUCAUCAGAUCUCAGAAGCUAAGCAAGGCAAGGUCUGGUUUGUACUUGGAUGGGAGGCUGCUGGAAAUUCCAUGUGCCAAUG